Molecule: long non-coding RNA, 1810 nt
Filed under: Nicotiana tabacum (common tobacco)
Lineage: Eukaryota; Viridiplantae; Streptophyta; Magnoliopsida; Solanales; Solanaceae
Description: long non-coding RNA (NTAB_LNC006096)
Source: RNAcentral
AUCCCUUACCCGAAGAACUCAGCGCAUCUUUCCCCUUUUCCCUUUUACUUCUCAUUCCCUCUUCAUAUCCCUUAAAAACCAGAGAAAACGGCAAUACCAGGGUUCCCCUUUUCUUCUUCUCCAUUCCUCAUCUUCAACAGACAUACAUGCCCUCAUGAUCUGAUUUUUGCGCAUAAUUUUAGAGAACAGCUAAAAUCGGCGAAAUCGAAAAAAAAGGAUUUGAAAGCUAUGGUUAAACUUCUACUCACUUGUUCUAUUUUUCUGAAAAUUCAAGUGCAAACAAGUUUGGGAAAGAGCUUAUGAAGCUAGGAGUAGGGGCUGAUCUCGUCGAUGAUUUCACUGCUGUCCAUGUAGCUGAUUUCCAACAUAGCAUCGGUUCUUUCAGCCUUUGUCCUGGCAUUUAUUUUCGAUUUUUAUUUGUGUUUCAGGUAUGAAUCUCGAUUUGAAGAUGCUGUAAUUGUUGUUAGCUGCUUCGUUACGAUGAAAUUUGCAACAACAGUUCCCUUGUUUCUCUUAAAUUCAUUAAUGUUUUGUGCGAGCUUGAACUAUUGUUUUGCUGAAAUUUGUCGUGAACGUUCCCUUGUUUUAUGAUGUUCUGCUCCAUUUCUAGUACGGCUAACUCUUGCAAUUUCCAAUUUGCUUUCUGAAAUCCCCAUUUUAAUGAUCUUCUUCUUAUGUUGACGCCUUUAAGUCGAUUUUGGAAUUGAUGUUUAUAGAUAAUCCUAUGUUAGUUAAUCAUUCUGGUGCUUUAUCAUUUUCUCCCAUUAGUUAGCAUAGUCGUUGCUUAGUCAGUAGUGAAGCAGUUGAUAUAAAGGUUCUUGACACAGGAUAAUUCUUUGAACUCUACUCCGAAAUAUGUGAUCUUUUAACAGCUGAAUAAAAAGACAAUUCUGUGAUAGUUUUGCCCUUAACUGUUUCCAUGGAUGCAAUUACGUGCUUGGACUUGAUGAAAAGACAUUUUUGUUAAAAAAAAAACAUCUGAGUCAUAUUUUCAUAUUAUUGUUUUGUUGGCCUUGGAUUGCUGCAAUCUACAUCUUCCAAUUUUGAUGUUUAUUGAAUCUCAAGGGGUGUAACUCAAAUUUUCGAACUGACCCUUCAUCGGAAGAUCUCUCAUUUGUCAUAGCAUGUAGGCGCAUGUAUGGGUGAUUUACUAAUGUUUAGAUGAGUUCUGCAGUUUCACAUUUAUGCCAUUCACUUAUUAGGAUAUGACUUGCUAGUAAGUGAGUCUCAACUGUGAGGGAGGAGGCAAGAAGUAUGCUUUGGUGGAUCAGGGUUUUCAAUUCCUAUUCAUGUGCAAUUACCUCACACUUGGAUAAUGCUAUUAGUGUAUUUCAAACUUCUUAUUUGAUUUUUCAUACUUAGUGGGUUACCUUCAAUUAUUUUAUUUUUCUUGUUCGUUUUAAAUCUAUUUAGCAACUGGACCUCAUAUUUGUGUUAGUAAGGGAUAUUUUUGGUAUAUAAGUACUAACUUGAAAGUUGGGUUUUAAUGGUAUUUCAAUUGCUGGAAAUUUGCAUCUUUUGUUGUUCUUUUUCAAUCAUUUUAUUGCUUGAAUUCCUUUUGGUUAAUAUUGAAGAUUUUGACAGAAAUUUGAAUAUUGGAUGCAUUCAAAAUGAAUGUCUUUCCUUCGUUGUCUCACUUGAUUAUUCAACAAAGUUGAAGGAACGAGAAUUCUGGGCUUUAUGUUCCAAGUGUAGUUGCUGAUUAGCUUAUGGAAACAUUGGUUGUCUCUGCUUGGUAAUCACAGUGACUAUAUUAUCAUAGCAAUAAUAGUCUGCAUUAUCAAUAAAUCAAAUAUCGUAGCUUGCUUUA